GACGAACGCUGGCGGCGUGCCUAAUACAUGCAAGUAGAGCGCUGAAGAGAGGAGCUUGCUCUUCUUGGAUGAGUUGCGAACGGGUGAGUAACGCGUAGGUAACCUGCCUUGUAGCGGGGGAUAACUAUUGGAAACGAUAGCUAAUACCGCAUAACAAUGGAUGACACAUGUCAUUUAUUUGAAAGGGGCAAUUGCUCCACUACAAGAUGGACCUGCGUUGUAUUAGCUAGUAGGUGAGGUAACGGCUCACCUAGGCGACGAUACAUAGCCGACCUGAGAGGGUGAUCGGCCACACUGGGACUGAGACACGGCCCAGACUCCUACGGGAGGCAGCAGUAGGGAAUCUUCGGCAAUGGGGGCAACCCUGACCGAGCAACGCCGCGUGAGUGAAGAAGGGUUUCGGAUCGUAAAGCUCUGUUGUAAGUCAAGAACGAGUGUGAGAGUGGAAAGUUCACACUGUGACGGUAGCUUACCAGAAAGGGACGGCUAACUACGUG
Molecule: ribosomal RNA, 497 nt
Filed under: uncultured bacterium
Lineage: Bacteria
Description: partial 16S ribosomal RNA
Rfam family: Bacterial small subunit ribosomal RNA
Source: RNAcentral